RNAcentral lists this ribosomal RNA (497 nucleotides) under uncultured bacterium. Its description in RNAcentral is "partial 16S ribosomal RNA". It matches the Rfam family "Bacterial small subunit ribosomal RNA", at positions 28 to 507 of the family's 1533-position model. The record is from RNAcentral.
GAUGAACGCUGGCGGCGUGCCUAAUACAUGCAAGUCGAGCGAACAGACGAGGAGCUUGCUCCUCUGACGUUAGCGGCGGACGGGUGAGUAACACGUGGAUAACCUACCUAUAAGACUGGGAUAACUUCGGGAAACCGGAGCUAAUACCGGAUAACAUGUUGAACCGCAUGGUUCAACAGUGAAAGACGGUCUUGCUGUCACUUAUAGAUGGAUCCGCGCCGCAUUAGCUAGUUGGUAAGGUAACGGCUUACCAAGGCAACGAUGCGUAGCCGACCUGAGAGAGGGAUAGGCCACACUGGAACUUAGACACGGUCCAGACGCCUACGGGAGGCAGCAGUAGGGAAUCUUCCGCAAUGGGCGAAAGCCUUACGGAGCAACGCCGCGUGAGUGAAGAAGGUCUUCGGAUCGUAAAACUCUGUUAUUAGGGAAGAACAACUGUGUAAGUAACUAUGCACGUCUUGACGGUACCUAAUCAGAAAGCCACGGCUAACUACGUG